Molecule: ribosomal RNA, 630 nt
Filed under: uncultured bacterium
Lineage: Bacteria
Description: bacterial SSU rRNA
Rfam family: Bacterial small subunit ribosomal RNA
Source: RNAcentral
UGGGCGUAAGCGCACGUAGGCGGACUUACAGGUCAAUUGUGAAAUACCUGGGCUCAACCCGGGAACUGCAGUUGAAACCGUUUGUCUUGAAUACCUGAGAGGGUGGGGGAAUACCUGGUGGAGAAGUGAAAUUCGUAGAGAUCAGGUGGAACACCGGAGGCGAAGGCGCCUGCCUGGCAGUGUAUUGACGCUGAGGUGCGAAAGUGCGGGGAGCAAACAGGAUUAGAUACCCUGGUAGUCCGCACCGUAAACGAUGGAUACUAGGCGUUCGGAGAGUUAACCCUCUGAGUGCCAAAGUUCACACAUUAAGUAUCCCGCCUGGGAAGUACGGUCGCAAGACUAAAACUCAAAGGAAUUGACGGGGGCCCGCACAAGCGGUGGAGUAUGUGGUUUAAUUCGAAGCAACGCGCAGAACCUUACCUGGCCUUGACAUCGCGAGACCGGUGCAGAGAUGCAUCUUUCCCUUCGGGGACUCGUAGACAGGUGCUGCAUGGCUGUCGUCAGCUCGCGUUGUGAAAUGUUCGGUUAAGUCCGGCAACGAGCGCAACCCCUGUUCUCAGUUACCAGCAUUAAGUUGGGGACUCUGGGAAGACCGCCGGUGUUAAACCGGAGGAAGGCGGGGAUGACGUC